Corvus hawaiiensis (hawaiian crow) is the source of this 375-nucleotide long non-coding RNA. RefSeq lists it as uncharacterized. NCBI's taxonomy places the organism in Eukaryota, Metazoa, Chordata, Aves, Passeriformes, Corvidae. The record is from RefSeq and is a predicted model, not a curated record. The transcript has 3 exons.
AAACAGAAGAAACCGCAGAUACAGCGAGGACUGAUGCAGUCACACCUUUGUAAAAUCCCGGGACCUCGUGGGAAGCAGAGGAGAAAGAUGCUCAUAUGCAGCUGGUGCCCAUCCUCCCCAAACGGACAGAGGCAGCUCUGCUUCCCUGAAACCGGGCAUCUGCAACUGCAACUCUGGUGAGAGGUACUAAAGGAAAACCAAUAAUUCCAAGGACUCAAGCACUCACAGCAGGAAUCUCACAGCAAAACAAACAGAAGCAGUAAGGAAAACACUCUGAGCACUGGCAACUUCAUCAGAUAUAAAUGAUACGUGAUUUCACCUCUGGAGAGCUGAUAGAAGCUGUCAUAGGUUAGCAAGCAUAGUCCCAGAAGGGAC